GCGUUUAUGGUGAAGCCUGGUUAACACAACUGACUGUGAAUCAGCCAUGCGUGGGUUCAAAUCCCACUAAACGCCCCA
Molecule: transfer RNA, 78 nt
Filed under: Mycoplasma sp.
Lineage: Bacteria; Bacillati; Mycoplasmatota; Mollicutes; Mycoplasmatales; Mycoplasmataceae
Description: tRNA-His
Rfam family: tRNA
About the family: Transfer RNA (tRNA) molecules are approximately 80 nucleotides in length. Their secondary structure includes four short double-helical elements and three loops (D, anti-codon, and T loops).
Source: RNAcentral